Molecule: long non-coding RNA, 669 nt
Filed under: Bos taurus (domestic cattle)
Lineage: Eukaryota; Metazoa; Chordata; Mammalia; Artiodactyla; Bovidae
Description: long non-coding RNA NONBTAT024221
Source: RNAcentral
UGUGUUGGGAGAUGACAGAACUUAUAUCAUCAGGUUAUUUUAAUUUUGUACAUUUUGAACAAUAUCCAAAAAUACUAAUCCGUUGCUAAAAUUCAUGAGAAGGAGUGAAAAGAGAAAUAUUCUACCUAUUGCAAUCUUCCAAGUGAAAGCAUUCACAUCCUGCUGUAAAUGUAUCAGAAUUAUAUCACAUUCUUUGGUGAAUACGCCCCCUCUUUUGUUUGGGUUUUGCUUUUAAAUCCUUUUACAGAAGUUUAAUGUUUGGCAAGAGCAUGUUUCCAGGUUUUUUCUACUUUACCCCCUGACUUUACAUGAACAAUACCAAAGAUUUUAAAAGGAAUGGAAAAACUCAAGCGUAUACUCCAUUUGCCACAACAAAGUUUGGCUUUUUAAAAAAUGUUCUUUUAUGUGUUUGGUGUUAAGUUGAUAAGUUACAGAAAGAAUUUUUGCCUGUUGAGAGACAGGGAAAAUAGAUUAAAGUUAAUUAUUUAUGAAUUUAUUUUCAUUAUAUCGUGUGCAGACUUUUAAAAAACUGAAUAGUGGUGGAACCACAGUAUUUUAUAUGUGGAAGUGUGCCUGUGUGUUCUAGUUCCUAUAUUUUCAUUUCAUAUAACCGCACCUCAUUCUUAUAAUUUGUAUGGAAGAUAUUCUCAUUAAACUAUCUUUUGGAUG